RNAcentral lists this ribosomal RNA (274 nucleotides) under uncultured bacterium. Its description in RNAcentral is "partial 16S ribosomal RNA". It matches the Rfam family "Bacterial small subunit ribosomal RNA", at positions 523 to 796 of the family's 1533-position model. The record is from RNAcentral.
AUACGGAGGGUGCAAGCGUUACUCGGAAUCACUGGGCGUAAAGCGCGCGCAGGCGGCUAUUUAAGUUGGAUGUGAAAGCCUACGGCUCAACCGUAGAACUGCAUCCAAAACUAUUUAGCUAGAGUGUGGGAGAGGAAGAUGGAAUUAGUUGUGUAGGGGUAAAAUCCGUAGAGAUAACUAGGAAUACCAAAAGCGAGGGCAAUCUUCUGGAACACUACUGACGCUGAGGCGCGAAAGCGUGGGGAGCAAACGGGAUUAGAAACCCUAGUAGUCC